This 253-nucleotide ribosomal RNA is filed under the name uncultured bacterium. RNAcentral's name for it is "partial 16S ribosomal RNA". It matches the Rfam family "Bacterial small subunit ribosomal RNA", at positions 524 to 776 of the family's 1533-position model. The record is from RNAcentral.
UACAGAGGGUGCGAGCGUUGUCCGGAAUCACUGGGCGUAAAGGGCGCGUAGGUGGCCCGACAAGUCAAUGGUGAAAGCUCGACGCUCAACGUCGAGUCGGCCACUGAUACUGUUGGGCUGGAGCACUGUAGAGGCUCAUGGAAUUCCGGGUGUAGCGGUGGAAUGCGUAGAGAUCCGGAAGAACACCGGUGGCGAAGGCGGUGAGCUGGGCAGUAGCUGACACUGAGGAGCGAAAGCCAGGGGAGCAAACGGG